UGAGCGCAAAAGGCCAGUUGCAAUGGCGUCUUCUCCUCAGCCUCCGGACUUAACCCUUGGGGUGAUGCUUCAGGCCAGUAAUGGCACCACGCGUGGUGCUGGGGGGGGGGGGAAGAGAGAGACUUCAGCCCCGGGGCUCUGAGAAGACGGAGUCAGUUCCCAGCCCCGAGGCCCGUAGCCGCUUUCUCCGGUCUUAACCAGCCCCCUAGUCCCCUGGCCGGAUGGGUCGCCUGGGAUUUCGGAGGCGGAAGGGAAGAAGGCCAGGCCUUAGCCAGGAAGCUGCCUUACUACUUGAAUCUUCCGCCUGUCUUGAAAGCCCCCCAGAGACCAGUACUGGCAUUUCAGAAGGGAGACAGAUGGAAAUAGUCGUUGCUGUGCAAGGAUACCCACAGUCAGAAGGACAAAGUGUUCCUGAGCACAGAUACCGAAUCCUGGUCCUCGAUGUGCCCGAUAGACCUGCCCUCUUCCCAGUUGUUCCUUAA
RNAcentral lists this long non-coding RNA (482 nucleotides) under Sarcophilus harrisii (Tasmanian devil). Its description in RNAcentral is "lncRNA (ENSSHAG00000024109.1)". Lineage: Eukaryota; Metazoa; Chordata; Mammalia; Dasyuromorphia; Dasyuridae. The record is from RNAcentral.